GGACGUAACAAUUGGAGCCGUGCAUCCCAGGCCCAUCUAGCAUUAACAUGCCUGUGGGCUUAUGCUCGAUGUCACUUGAUUAAUCUCCGGGUAAGCCCUCGCCUCUUUGCGAUAUCAGUCGACGUACAAUCUCCGGCAACAAUCAGUAAUUAUGAAGGUAAGGUCAUCGGUUAAGAAGAUGUGCGAGUUCUGUAGAACAGUCAAACGUCGAGGUCGUGUAUAUGUGUUAUGCACAGCAAAUCCCAAGCACAAACAACGCCAGGGCAUGUCUACGUUUGCAUAUGAGGCACCACUACCUCCAGUAGCAUCAUCGGCAGAAACAAGCAUCAAGCAAGAGACAUCAAUUGUUCACAAUUUUAGUGCAGGGCUACCUUCUCUCAUUAGGAACGAACCCUCUACUGUGUUUGGAUGGAGAACAAGUCUAGCAUCUCUUUUAUUUGGCCAGGGCAACAAGUAGUAAAACCACAUGCAGAUCAAGUUUAAAAGAUCUUGAAGCUUUUUGUGAUUCCAUUGAAUAGUGGUUGUAUUUUGAUCCCGGUUUUGUUUAAAACAGGUUAUAACACCAAGUCAUCACCCAGGAUUGAACAUGAACCGGCAACAGUGAUAUGUUCAGGAACCCUGAGAAAUAACAUGAAAGUUGUUUUUUUUUUUUUAA
Molecule: long non-coding RNA, 655 nt
Organism: Daucus carota subsp. sativus
Lineage: Eukaryota; Viridiplantae; Streptophyta; Magnoliopsida; Apiales; Apiaceae
Exons: 3
Source: RefSeq, a predicted model, not a curated record